AACGAACGCUGGCGGCAGGCCUAACACAUGCAAGUCGAGCGCACCUUCGGGUGAGCGGCGGACGGGUGAGUAACGCGUGGGAACGUGCCCUUUUCUGCGGAAUAGCCUUGGGAAACCGAGAGUAAUACCGCAUACGCCCUUCGGGGGAAAGAUUUAUCGGAGAAGGAUCGGCCCGCGUUGGAUUAGGUAGUUGGUGGGGUAAUGGCCUACCAAGCCGACGAUCCAUAGCUGGUUUGAGAGGAUGAUCAGCCACACUGGGACUGAGACACGGCCCAGACUCCUACGGGAGGCAGCAGUGGGGAAUCUUAGACAAUGGGGGAAACCCUGAUCUAGCCAUGCCGCGUGAGUGACGAAGGCCUUAGGGUCGUAAAGCUCUUUCGCCAGGGAAGAUAAUGACGGUACCUGGUAAAGAAGUCCCGGCUAACUCCGUG
Molecule: ribosomal RNA, 431 nt
Filed under: uncultured Alphaproteobacteria bacterium
Lineage: Bacteria; Pseudomonadati; Pseudomonadota; Alphaproteobacteria
Description: bacterial SSU rRNA
Rfam family: Bacterial small subunit ribosomal RNA
Source: RNAcentral